GUAGGGAGGGAGCAGAGAGACAGCACGAGCUUCCUGUGUUGUAAAGAAAGGGGGCGGAGCCUGAGACUCCCAAUCUGACAGGCAGGAAGCGAGGCCUCCAAUCCGGCCUUUCCGGUGCGAUAAGCGGGGACAGGAGGUCAGCACAGCCCGGGCAUCCGGAGGAGGAGGAGGGGGGAGGAAGCCAACAUAACAUCCCAUGGACAAGCUGCCGGUCCUGGAGUCUGCGGCUGCAGGAGGAGGGAGUGCAGCACCUCCAGCCAGGAAACCUCCCCGGCCAUCCGCGCCCCCCUCUAUAACCACCUCCCGGCAGCCCAGCGUGGAGACCCUGGAGAG
Non-coding RNA from Pelobates cultripes (western spadefoot toad), 333 nucleotides. The record is from the annotation of a GenBank genome assembly. NCBI's taxonomy places the organism in Eukaryota, Metazoa, Chordata, Amphibia, Anura, Pelobatidae.